This 80-nucleotide transfer RNA is filed under the name Sterigmatomyces sp. RNAcentral's name for it is "tRNA-Leu". It matches the Rfam family "tRNA". From Rfam's summary of the family: Transfer RNA (tRNA) molecules are approximately 80 nucleotides in length. Lineage: Eukaryota; Fungi; Basidiomycota; Agaricostilbomycetes; Agaricostilbales; Agaricostilbaceae. The record is from RNAcentral.
GCGAGCGUGAUGUAAUGGUAGCCAUGCAGUCCUCAAGUGACUGUCUCCUAGAGGUGUGGGUUCAAGUCCCACCGCUCGUA